CAGACACAACCUAGAAUAGAUCUACAAGGAGAACCUGCUGAAUAGCAUUGAGAACUAUGUCUAGAUACUCAUGUUGCAACAGAAGAAAGGGUGGGGGAAAAACUGUAACUGCAAUGUAUACAUGUAAGGAUAACCUGACCCCCUUGCUGUACAGUGGGAAAAAAAAAAAAUCUCAAGGAAAAAUAAUUUAAAGUUGCGGGAGACCAAAAUAUCAAUGUCAAGAUUUCCAGAUCUUAAACAGACAGUAUUAUUAUGUAGUAUCUUAAUUUGUAUGAUGUGAGGGAUGAAAUAAACUCAUUCCUUUCUGUCAGCACCUUUGUACCUAUUACAGUGCUAGGUGAGGCUUUUAAACUCCUUCAAGUCAUAAGCACAAUAGUCAAUAAAUUAUGGAAUUUGAAAAAUGUUAAGAAUUUGAAAAACGUCUUAUUCAGAUGAAUAUGAUUAUCUCCAGUGUGUAAUAAGAAUAUCAUCUUGGGAAUUCUGUGGUGGAUCAGUGGGUUAAAGAUCCAGUGAUGUCACUGCUGUGGUGCGGGUUUGAACCCUGGCCUGGGAACUUCCAUGUGCCAUGAGCUAACUUAAAUGUCCUGAUUGCUCCAGUUUCCUUCCCUACCACUUUCUCUCCAUGUUUCUCUUAUUAUCCCAUGCUCCAGCUACACACAUCUUGUCAUUCCCACAUCACAUUGUGCCUACAUACGUAUGGACAUCUGACUCAUUCUGCCUGGAACACCCAUUCCCUUCAUUGACACGGAACAACUCAUUUAUUUUUCAAGGCCAAGUUCAUGUAUUACUUCCUCUGUGAAACCUUACUUUAUAUUCCCAGGUACAGUCGAGUUAUUCUCUCUUUAUUAGCUGUGGUACACCAGCUUCAGUAACAAAGAUAUCCCCAAAUUUUAUAAUAUUAGCACUGAAUAAAUAUUUUCUGUGUCUUUUAACAUUUGUGAGAGAUUUUUCAGGUUGAUGAAUAGCUUUUCUGUCUUUAGUCAUGCAUGGUCUAAGCUGAGAAAGCACUCCUAUCCUCAGAACAUGACUUUCCUGUUGCCCUGAAUGUCAAUAUCCUAGGCAGCUAGAAAGAGGAAAGAGCAGGGAGGAGCUUGCAUGGGUAGUUUUAGGAUUUAUAUCUGAAAAUUGGGUAUGUAACUUAGGUUCAAAUUUUAUGUGAGACAACAUAUUCCCUUGGCCACACCUAGCUACACUGGGUGCAAGACUGUGGUCUAGUUGUGUGUCCAAGAAGGGAAAAAAAAUGUUUAUGGAGAGAUGUAAUUUCUGCCAUGUCCUCCUAGAGGGUUCCCAUAACACUACUUAAGCACAUUUCCAUUUGUAAUGCAAUUACCUUUUUGUAUGUUUACCUCUCUCAAUAAUAUGGUCCUAAAGUGUGGGUUUUUUGAGAACUGAGACUUUUGUUGGUAUUCAUAACUCAUUCCAUCAAUAGUGUUUAGUAAAUGUCUGCUGUGCAGCAGUGUCUCAGUACAUAUUACAGUGCUCAAUGCAUGUUUAUUAAAUUAAUAUAUGUAUGAAUUAGUGAAUGAAUAUUGACAUUAUCACAAUUGAGUUCUGGUCAUGCAGUACUAUUGUCCUUUCUUUCUAUAAAAUUCACACUGUUGCUUGAAUUGCUAUCUUUCUUCUAUAGAAAUUCAUUUUUAACAUUUUGAUAACAAUAUUAUUCUAUGUGGCAGUGUAAAUAUUUCCAAAUUAAUUAAAUAGCAGCUUAUGAUAUUAUAGACUAGGGAUUGACAAGCUUUUUCUGCAAAGGGUCGUAUAAUAAACAUUUUUAGACUUUGUAAGGCACAUACAAUCUCUGUCAUAACCUCUGAACCUUGACUUUGUAAUGUUGGCUUCCUGGCUUAGCCUAUGGCAGGCCAUAGAUUACUAACCUCUGGCAUGGGGUAAUAUAUGCUAAAAUAUAAAAGCACUGGCCAUUUCUGUAGCCAAAAGAUAUAUAAAAAUAACAAAUAGUUUUAAUGAUUACUUAGAAAGUCAAUAUAAAAAAAUUUGGUUGGCUGAAGCAAGAUGGCAAAGACUCAAUUUUCCUUGUUUCUCAGCUCUAAAUGAAACUAGAUACUAUAUAACAAAGGAGCACAAAAAUGGAGAAAGCAAAAUGUAGACUGACUAGAUAGCCCAGAACUUGGAGAAGGAUACUAUAGUGAGCUCUCUGGGUUUUCCUUUUAUCUUCCAUGUAUCCUAGACUAGAGAGUCUUGCAAUCCAGAAACACCAAAGUGGUAGACAAAAUAACACUCAAAAUUUGCUCUCUCUGGCCGAAGGACUGAAAAAGGGGAAAUCCAGCACGGACUUAAUGGGAAGACCCAUACCUUUUGGCAGUGGCAGAACUGAUUCUCUAGAAUUUGUGGCAAACGUGGAUUGACUCAGGAGGUGAUGGCCCACUGCAUUCCCCAUACCUGCUGGAAGAAGUGGGUUCAAUCUGCCCACAGUGGUAACAGCAGACAAUUCCAUCCAUACCCAAUACUAAGAGGUAACAAUUGGAGUUCCUGUCAUGGCUCCAAUUGGAAGUGGAUCUGACUAGCGCCCAUGAAAAUGCGGAUUCAAUCCCUGGCCUUGCUUAGUGGGUUAAGGAUCUGGUGUUGCCAUGAGCUGUGGUGUAGGUCACAGAUGCAGCUUGGAUCCUGUGUUGCUGUGGCUGUGACAUAAACUGGCAGCUGCAGCUCCAAUUCGACUCCUAGCCUGGGAACCUCCAGAUGCCGUGGGUGUGGCCCUAAAAAAAAGGACAAAAAUAAAAGGUAACAAUUAGUCCCCUCUGCUCACCCUAGAGGCACCAGUGUGCCAGGUGUCUUCUGGACCUCCACUCAGCAGAAUGUGACUCAAGGCUGGCAUAUCUUGGCCUUCCUCCAAUGGCAGAGAGCCACUUUGGCUUGGUGGGGCCAGCCUCUCCAUCUAGUUUCAGGAGGCCCAGCUGAGCACUUUCCUUCCCUGAAGGCAAAAACAGAAAUAUAGUGGGAAGUCCAUCAGUAGGCAUCCAGUGAGAGAACAGGUCAGGGAAAAUACUCUCCACCCUGUGGCUCUGGCACACCCGCUUUACACCUAGAAGCACUGGGUAGCAUAGCAGGGAUCCAGCAGGAGCUCAAGCAGGCGCAGAAGAAAGAAAAACCAAAAUAGCACCAUAAGAACUCACAAAUCUCAAUUGUCACUGGAACUACAGGUCACAAAAGUAAAUAAUCUGCCUGAUAAACCUAAACAAGGUGACUGCUUGCUAAAUUCAAAGAUUUAUGUAGGAUCAAGAAUCUCCUAACAUCUAAAAUAUACAAAAUAUGAUAAAAAAAUCACACAUCAUGCCAAGGGCCAGGGAAAAAAUCACAACUGGAAUGAAAAAAAAAAUGAUGGGAACACUAAGAUGAAUUAGAAGUUGGAACGACCUGACAAACAUUUUAAAGCUGCAGAUUUCUUCAAUGAGUAGUUAUAAAUUGUCUCAAAACAAAUUAAAACAAGAAAAAUCUCAGCAAAGGAAGAGAAGUUAUAGAAAGGAGCAAAUAGAAAUGAUAGAACUAAAAAUAUUAUAACAAAAACUCAUUUGAUGAGAUGACUAAUAAGAGUGACUAUGUAGAAAAUAUAAUCUGAACUGGAGAGGAGAUAAAUAGAAUUUACCCAGUCUGAACAAUGGAGAGAAGACAUCCUGACCAAAAAACAAACAAACAGAUGAAAAAACCCCACGGGGGACUAUGGGAAAAUUACAAAAAAAUUAACAUUUACAAAUCUCAAAGUGCUUGUGA
Molecule: long non-coding RNA, 3720 nt
Filed under: Sus scrofa (pig)
Lineage: Eukaryota; Metazoa; Chordata; Mammalia; Artiodactyla; Suidae
Description: lncRNA (ENSSSCG00000062146.1)
Source: RNAcentral